Molecule: RNase P RNA, 310 nt
Filed under: Patescibacteria group bacterium
Lineage: Bacteria
Description: RNase P RNA component class A
Rfam family: Bacterial RNase P class A
About the family: Ribonuclease P (RNase P) is a ubiquitous endoribonuclease, found in archaea, bacteria and eukarya as well as chloroplasts and mitochondria. Its best characterised activity is the generation of mature 5'-ends of tRNAs by cleaving the 5'-leader elements of precursor-tRNAs.
Source: RNAcentral
UCUGGAGGAAGGACAAUUGCCCCCCACUGCGUAAAGCUAUGAGGGGAGGAAAGUCCAGGCUGCAGGAAACAGGGUGCCCAGCGUAAGCUGGGACGGGUAACCGCUAGUCAGAGCCACAGAGACUACGACUCACCCCAAUCUUAAAAAGAAAGGGGAAGAGGGUGAAAAGAGGCAAUCCUCCCCGCAGCAACCUCCGACAGGGACGCCAUUAGGUGUUUCCCCGAUUCGUCUUUUGACGAAGCGUUCCGAGGUGAGGGCCUAGAGAGAUAAUUGUCUAAAACAGAACCUGGCUUACCACCCUCCAGAGUGA